RNAcentral lists this long non-coding RNA (1128 nucleotides) under Cricetulus griseus (Chinese hamster). RNAcentral's name for it is "lncRNA (ENSCGRG00015039488.1)". The record is from RNAcentral. Lineage: Eukaryota; Metazoa; Chordata; Mammalia; Rodentia; Cricetidae.
UGGAAACCGGAAGCAGUGCGGGCGGGAUCUCUAGUCCUUCCGGCACGCAGACCCUCCCCCCUCUAGUGGCAAGUCACCGCCUAGUGACGUCAUUCCGGUGCGCCGGCAGGGCUACAUCCGGGUUUCGGCUGGCGGGCUCCUCGCAGGCUCUCGUAGGCUGGAGAAAGCUGUGUGGCUGGCAAACGCCGAGCGAGUUCUGUGCUGGGGAGGCGACGGUGUUGUAAUCCGAUUGGUCCAGGGCUCCCUGCCUCCUUUGAGAACUUUGCGAGCAAAGUGCACUCGUAGCUCAGGUUGGAACCUGUUGAUGUUAACGGUGCAUAAUGAGGAGGAGCAGGGACACAUUUGUUAAUGGCUAAGCAGUCCCACCCUGCUAGAGAAGCCCAGAUCUCGCUGUACGUAAGGAAGACCGCUGUCAGUCGAUGGCGUCACACACUGAGGACGUUAGUGUGCUGUGUACCACGCUAGCGUUUUUGUGUGUGAUAUCCACGCAUGUGAUAACCACGCACAGAGGCGCUGGUAGAGGGGGGCUUUGAACUCAGGCUGUGUGGUUUAAGUGUUCCUGAUUUUCACAAUCCUCCCUACCUCCCUCCGUCCCUACACAGGGUCUCUCUGUGUAGCCUUGGCUGUCCUGGAACUCGCUGUGUAGACCAGGCUGGUUUCUAAUUCACAGAUCCGCCUGCUUCUGCCUCUCCAGCCUGAAGAGGAUACUGUUUUUGGUUUUUGUUUUGGUUUUUUCGAGACAGGGUUUCUCUGUGGCUUUGGAGGCUGUCCUGGAACUGCCUCUUGUAGACCUGGCUGGUCUUGAACUCACAGAGAUCCGCCUGCCUCUGCCUCCUGAGUGCUGGGAUUAAAGGUGUGCGCCACCACUGCCCGGCGAGGAUGCUGUUUUUAAAGCACCUAUUGGGAGCUCAGCUUUUGUUAUUUUGUUUGUUUUGAGACCAGGUCUCACUGUGUGGCCCCGACCAGCCUGGUAUUCACUAUGUAGACCAAGCUGGCUUUGAAUUUACAGAGUAGACCUACCUGCCUCUGCCUCCUGAGUGAGGCGGUGGGGUGGGAGGUUGAGGAGGGGGAUUGUGGAGUAGGUGUUGAGGAAGUUUUCUUUCUUUCUCUCUCUCUCUCUCUCUCUCU